UACGAAGGGUGCAAGCGUUACUCGGAAUUACUGGGCGUAAAGCGUGCGUAGGCGGUUUGUUAAGUCUGUCGUGAAAGCCCCGGGCUCAACCUGGGAAUUGCGCUUGAAACUAGCGAGCUUGAGUGUGGCAGAGGGGGGUGGAAUUCCACGUGUAGCAGUGAAAUGCGUAGAGAUGUGGAGGAACACCGAUGGCGAAGGCAGCCCCCUGGGUCAACACUGACGCUCAUGCACGAAAGCGUGGGGAGCAAACAGG
This 253-nucleotide ribosomal RNA is filed under the name uncultured bacterium. RNAcentral describes it as "partial 16S ribosomal RNA". It matches the Rfam family "Bacterial small subunit ribosomal RNA", at positions 524 to 776 of the family's 1533-position model. The record is from RNAcentral.